GUUUGAUCAUGGCUCAGAUUGAACGCUGGCGGCAGGCCUAACACAUGCAAGUCGAGCGGUAACAGGAAUUAGCUUGCUAAUUCGCUGACGAGCGGCGGACGGGUGAGUAAUGCCUGGGAAUAUGCCUUAGUGUGGGGGAUAACUAUUGGAAACGAUAGCUAAUACCGCAUAAUGUCUUCGGACCAAAGAGGGGGACCUUCGGGCCUCUCGCGCUAAGAUUAGCCCAGGUGAGAUUAGCUUGUUGGUGAGGUAAGAGCUCACCAAGGCGACGAUCUCUAGCUGGUCUGAGAGGAUGAUCAGCCACACUGGAACUGAGACACGGUCCAGACUCCUACGGGAGGCAGCAGUGGGGAAUAUUGCACAAUGGGCGCAAGCCUGAUGCAGCCAUGCCGCGUGUAUGAAGAAGGCCUUCGGGUUGUAAAGUACUUUCAGUGGGGAGGAAGGUGUUGUCGUUAAUAGCGGCAGCAUUUGACGUUACCCACAGAAGAAGCACCGGCUAACUCCGUGCCAGCAGCCGCGGUAAUACGGAGGGUGCGAGCGUUAAUCGGAAUUACUGGGCGUAAAGCGCAUGCAGGUGGUUCAUUAAGUCAGAUGUGAAAGCCCGGGGCUCAACCUCGGAACCGCAUUUGAAACUGGUGAACUAGAGUGCUGUAGAGGGGGGUAGAAUUUCA
Molecule: ribosomal RNA, 671 nt
Filed under: uncultured Vibrionaceae bacterium
Lineage: Bacteria; Pseudomonadati; Pseudomonadota; Gammaproteobacteria; Vibrionales; Vibrionaceae
Description: bacterial SSU rRNA
Rfam family: Bacterial small subunit ribosomal RNA
Source: RNAcentral